Long non-coding RNA from Myotis brandtii (Brandt's bat), 734 nucleotides. RefSeq lists it as uncharacterized. Lineage: Eukaryota; Metazoa; Chordata; Mammalia; Chiroptera; Vespertilionidae. The record is from RefSeq and is a predicted model, not a curated record. The transcript has 2 exons.
GAAAUAGGAAGGGUGACAUUGUUACUCAGCUUUAGUCAAGGUCUGUCGCUGGAAAAGGCAUGUCAGAUCCCCUUCAGGAGUGCAAAUCACCGCUCUGAACUGGAGUUUGGUGUAUCCAGGCUUUCACUCCUGCGAGCUAGAGCCGUCCACUGGUUGUUGUUCUGGUCCUUGGGUCCUCUAAGUCUUCAGUCUGUCCCCGACUGGAAGCGGGGAAGGGGAGAGGAGGGGGGAAAGGCAGAGGUUCCUCUGUGGGAAAAGAAGAGCUGGAAAGAACAAACUUAGGCAAGGUUAGCAAAACUAGCCCUAGGUGUUAAACACAGUGUUUAAUUUCCGUGUCCUGUUCUAACCCAGUGGGGGGAGUCCCUAGAACAGAAGUUUGGGUUUCCCAUAGACAAUUUCAAAAGGGUUCAGUGUGAGCCCACAUCUAGGGGCUACCCUGAUCCCUAAUAGGCAAGAGGAGGCACAUGGUCUCGUUGCAAAUGUGCCUCCUGACAGCUUUGCCCAAGUUUUCUCCAAGGUGUGGCUCAUGUCCGUUUCCCAGUUCCAGUAGACAGGGAUUCAGGAACCCUGUACUCUCCAUCGGACCUGCAGUGCUUGACUGACUUUCUAGGUGACUUCAGAUAUAAAUGAUGGCUGUUCUGAAUACUGUUAGGGAGUCCGAAUCUGGGAAUUAAUUCCUUGAGUUUUCACCUUUUCGAUUCUAGUCAGGUAUGUCUCAACCCAUUAGGAAAAGG